This 998-nucleotide ribosomal RNA is filed under the name Promicromonospora sp. RNAcentral's name for it is "bacterial SSU rRNA". It matches the Rfam family "Bacterial small subunit ribosomal RNA", at positions 56 to 1066 of the family's 1533-position model. Lineage: Bacteria; Bacillati; Actinomycetota; Actinomycetes; Micrococcales; Promicromonosporaceae. The record is from RNAcentral.
UGCAAGUCGAACGGUGUAAGCCCAGCUUGCUGGGUGGAUCAGUGGCGAACGGGUGAGUAACACGUGAGCAACCUGCCCCCUACUUCGGGAUAAGCCUUGGAAACGAGGUCUAAUACCGGAUAUGAGUGCCUGCCGCAUGGUGGGUGCUGGAAAGUUUUUCGGUGGGGGAUGGGCUCGCGGCCUAUCAGCUUGUUGGUGGGGUAAUGGCCUACCAAGGCGUCGACGGGUAGCCGGCCUGAGAGGGCGACCGGCCACACUGGGACUGAGACACGGCCCAGACUCCUACGGGAGGCAGCAGUGGGGAAUAUUGCACAAUGGGCGAAAGCCUGAUGCAGCGACGCCACGUGAGGGAUGACGGCCUUCGGGUUGUAAACCUCUUUCAGCAGGGAAGAAGCGAAAGUGACGGUACCUGCAGAAGAAGCGCCGGCUAACUACGUGCCAGCAGCCGCGGUAAUACGUAGGGCGCAAGCGUUGUCCGGAAUUAUUGGGCGUAAAGAGCUCGUAGGCGGUCUGUCGCGUCUGGUGUGAAAUCCCAUGGCUCAACUGUGGGCUUGCAUCGGGUACGGGCAGACUAGAGUGCUGUAGGGGAGACUGGAAUUCCUGGUGUAGCGGUGGAAUGCGCAGAUAUCAGGAGGAACACCGAUGGCGAAGGCAGGUCUCUGGGCAGUUACUGACGCUGAGGAGCGAAAGCAUGGGGAGCGAACAGGAUUAGAUACCCUGGUAGUCCAUGCCGUAAACGUUGGGCACUAGGUGUGGGGCGGGUUCCACUCGUUCUGUGCCGUAGCUAACGCAUUAAGUGCCCCGCCUGGGGAGUACGGCCGCAAGGCUAAAACUCAAAGGAAUUGACGGGGGCCCGCACAAGCGGCGGAGCAUGCGGAUUAAUUCGAUGCAACGCGAAGAACCUUACCAAGGCUUGACAUGUACGAGAACGCGUUAGAGAUAACGAACUCUUUGGACACUCGUACACAGGUGGUGCAUGGUUGUCGUCAGCUCGUGUC